ACUUAUAGCUGACUGACGGAUGACAUUAGAGAAUGAGGCGAAGGGCGGCCCAACCGCCGCCCGGAGCCGACGCUCUCCACCCUGCCUUUUGAAUACCUCACCUCCUCCCCGGCCUCCGCGCCGGGCAGGCUUACUCGAAAAAACCUUGCAGUUUAUAGUCUAUUCAGUCAUUACAAACAAAAUUACAACUUUCAACAAUGGAUCUCUUGGCUCUGGCAUCGAUGAAGAACGCAGCGAAAUGCGAUAAGUAGUGUGAAUUGCAGAAUUCAGCGAAUCAUCGAAUCUUUGAACGCACAUUGCGCCCUUCGGUUAUUCCUUAGGGCAUGCCUGUUCGAGCGUCAUUUCAACCUUCAAGCCUGGCUUGGUGUUGGGCGCUGUCCCGCCCCCGCGCGCGGACUCGCCUCGAAUGAAUUGGCAGUCGCACCCUCCGAGCCGCGAGCGCAGCACAAGUCGCGCCCGCCGGCCCCGCUGGGACGGACGCUCCACAAGACCCCCCCAUCGUCUUGACCUCGGAUCAGGUAGGGAUACCCGCUGAACUUAAGCAUAUCAAAAGCGGGAGAGAA
Molecule: ribosomal RNA, 563 nt
Filed under: Corynespora sp. MFLUCC 11-0431
Lineage: Eukaryota; Fungi; Ascomycota; Dothideomycetes; Pleosporales; Corynesporascaceae
Description: eukaryotic LSU rRNA
Rfam family: 5.8S ribosomal RNA (bases 187-341)
Source: RNAcentral